UCAUGACUAAAAUUCCCUGCCAGUCUUAUGCCUUAUCAGCGAAUAUGUGUAUAAUGUCUUUUCUGCAAAAAUCCUGUCUGUCAGAGGGAUAUACAUUGCUUAGUUUCAUAUUCAUUAACCUUGUGCCAUGAAUGCAAGUUCUUCAUUAAGAUCUGUUCCAUGGUAGAUAAGGGAAGUCGUGUUAUCUGCAAGAGAAGCAACUGAAAAUUGUUCAUUUCUGCAAGGUCACAAUUUACAAAGGUAAACCCCAGUUUCUGUGUUCCAACAAUCAAGAAUACAUAUAGUCCAUCCUCCCCACCCCAACCUACUUCCAAUAACUAACCAGCCAAUGGCAAGACUGGGAAGAGCAGCUCUUCGUGCUGCUACCAGGAUGAUUGACAUGGAUAUCCCAGAGGGUGUCUGAGUUAGACACAUGGGUCAUUGGAGUGAUGAGAAAGUAGACUGUAGAGUCACAAAGAUGCUGUUCCUACUCUACUAUGAGACCGUGACAAAACUCAGCUUUCCUGAGCCUUGGUUUCCUAGUUUUUAAAGGGAGAUGAUGAAACUCCACAAAGGUUUGAGUGAAAUGGAAUUUUUGAAUGAAAUUAGAUUUUUCAAAAAUGCAACUCAUCAUGCUUGCUGCCUGAAGCACCAAUGAUCUGCAGGACACCCAGCAGCUCCUGACACCACCUCACCUCUGCUGUCGACUGAAGCCUUCACCCCUGCAUAACACUGUUACAGGCUAACAACUGUGUUUGCAAGAAACUUCAUCCCAAGAGGUUCAUCUUCCACUAUAAAGUGCAGUAAACACCCUUUUUAAAGAUGCAAUGAAGGAUCUCAAGAAGAGUUCAUCCCUGGAAAGUGUGGGCCCUAAAUACAAUGACAAGUGACCUUAUAAAGCAAGAGGAAGGGAGAACACACGGAGGAGAAGGCCAUGGAGUUAUGUGGCCAUAAACCAAGGAACAAGCUCUUGGAGCCACCAGAAGUUGGACGAGGCGAGGAAGGAUUCUCCCCCAGAGCCUUCAGAGGGAGCCUGGCCCUGCUGACACCUUGACUUUGGACUUCUGGCUUCCAGA
Molecule: long non-coding RNA, 1055 nt
Organism: Lemur catta (Ring-tailed lemur)
Lineage: Eukaryota; Metazoa; Chordata; Mammalia; Primates; Lemuridae
Exons: 5
Source: RefSeq, a predicted model, not a curated record